UGUCUCUUUGUUAGUUCAAGAAUUUAAACUAAUCAUUUAUUGAACAUUCUAAAUAUAAUUGUCUUUUACAUUGUUGCAUAUUUUAUUUAGAUUUCAGUGGAAUAUAAUGUCGUUAUUGAUUAAACUACAAAUCCCAGCAUACCUAGCUUUGUCUGUAAGGGACGGAUUGGUUUAACUUCCUCUUCCUAUGAUAGCUGGCCUUGACUUCUGGGAUGUUCUGCAAUCAGCAUUGAGGUACUUCUGUUAGUGAAGACAUUCCUGGGAGUGAGGAGGUUCAUCACCAAGCUUUCAACAAGUUGGCUUCUUUCUCCUGUGAUGUUGCAAGGACCGAAGUUUAGAAGAUACAGGAACCUCCCAAAAAGGAUGAACAAGAACAAAAACGAGAAACAAGGAAAGUUGUUGAAGUGAUGGAAGCAAUGUGAGAAGAGCAUCAAGGCUAAUCUGCACAAGUCUGAGGAACAGGAAAAGGGUACAGAGACUGACAUGUUAGUUUUGUACGGUGGCAUUUUGGAGAUGAUCUUAUUCAAGUGUUGUGAUGUUGGGGGAAUGACGCCGGGUUCUACAGUCACCAAACCAACGCUCACACUUGGGUGAACUCACAUGAUUUAUUUUAUUUACAAUGGAAAGAGUUCAGGGCCACAUUGGGGCACUGUUCCUCGCCGUCAGAGAGCAUGUGCAGUGACAUUGGCGAUCUCAGGCUUGUCCCAGCAGCUUCGUCCUGGUCUUUGAAGGAGGCGGCGUGGCGAUCUCAGGCUUCUUCCUGCGGUUCGCCCUUGUGUCAAGAGAGGUGGCUGACGGCACGAUGGUGACAACUUUUCCUGUGUCAGAGCACCGAGAUCACUCUCUUUUCUUGAAAAUGGUCAUGAUUACAGCAUCACUGAGAUCCUCUGGAACAUCAUCUUUCUGAAUGAGGAUAACGAGACUGUGGAUUUGUGACAGGAGCUAAUGAGAAACUGCUCGACCUAAGGCGACUACACUCCAGAAACCUCAGUAGUCGAGCUGCUGUAUGUCGAUGUUAAAUGCUUUUGGGCGCAAUCACAGGUCAAGAUCCAAGCCAUCAUCAAUUUAUUCACCAAAACUCAUGAAAGGAUGAGUUUUGCAAAACAUCCAAAGGUGCUCAACCAACUAUUCUCUUUUGCAUCUAGCUGCCCUUCAGCACAGGACCAGGCGUUCACUUGGCAGGCUAGCAUUGAUUGGUCAUCACUGCAGUCCUUUUGGCGAAGAUACUCCUGGAAUACUACUGGAGAGGAGUUCCAGGCAUUAGAUCCAGUGACAAUGAUGACAUUUCAAAAUCGUGAAAAUGAGGAGGACAACUUGCUGGUGGUGAUGUUUCCACCCAACUACUUCCCUUGUUGUUCUUGGUGGUAAAGGUCACAUAGUUUUGGGAGGUGAAAGCUGAACACAGCUGGGGGCCUAUGCAAGUUCCCACUUUUGACACAGAAAGUGAGAGGAGGCAAAAGAGAAGUUCUGCCAGCAAGAAGAGUGUUAGUUGAGGGAACUGAUUAGGUCUCCGUUCAAAGAAGAACAGGAGGCCCCUUGAGGCCUUCCUAGCGGGUAAUGGAGAUGCAAAGACACUGGACAUCCAUGGCAAGAUGAGGCAAUGGGGGCCAAGGAAUGGAAAAUUAUUGAAGUGAAGUGAUUCGGAUGUAGGUCUGAAGGGACUGGACAAGAGGGAACAAGAUGGAAUAGAGGUAUUUGCAGUUCAGUGGGGCUGGAGCAAGCAGAAACAAUGGGUCAACUGCCAGAGCAGUCCUGCUAAUGUUAUUGCGGUUGUAGAAGGAAUUGGGAUAGCUUUUAAAGCAAUAAUAGAAACAUAGAAAAUAGGUGCAGGAGGCCAUUCGGCCCUUCGAGCCAUUCAUUGUGAUCAUGGCUGAUCGUCCCCAAUAAUUAACCCGUGCCUGCCUUCUCCCCAUAUCCCUUGAUUCCACCAGCCCCUAGAUCCCUAUCUAACUCUUAAAUCCAUCCAGUGAUUUGGCCUCCACUGCCCUCUGUGGCAGGGAAUUCCACAAAUUCACAACUCGCUGGGUGAAAACGUUUUUUCUCACCUCAGUCCUAAAUGGCCUCCCCUUUAUUCUAAGACUGGUGCCCCUGGUUCUGGACUUGCCCAACAUUAGGAACAUUUUUCCUGCAUCUAGCCUGUCCAGUCCUUUUAUAAUGUUAUAUAUUUCUAUAACAUCUCCCGUCAUCCUUCUAAACUCCAGUGAAUACAUGCCUAGUCUUUUCAAUCUUUCCUCAUAUGACAGUCCCGCCAUCCCAGGGAUCAAUCUCAUGAACCUACGCUGCACUGCCUCAAUCACAAGGAUAAUAAAUUAAUUGUAAACAAAAAAUCAUUAAAGCACAAAAUUCAACAGGAAAAGUGGUCCACCCGUGGCUGAAGGGAGAAAUUAAUAAUAAUAAUAUAUCACGGAUGUCCGAAACAGCAAUAAACCCGAGCAUGCUAAGUAUUUCAAAACCUUGCAAAGGGAAAUAGUGAAAUUGAUCAAGAAAGAGAAGUUGAAUAUCAGAGUAAACUGUUGCAACAUAAAAACAGAAUCGAGCAAGUCUGUAAAAAUGGUAAAAAGGAAAAACUAGCUAGGGCAAAUGGGAUUCCCUACAUAGAGAGGUUAAAGUAUUUAUAACAGAGACAAGGAACUGGCAGACUAAUCACAAAACUACUGCGUACACAGGCAGCUUAAAAAUAAACCUUCAGGAAUACUUAAGAACCAUGGGCCUAGUGAGCAUGAGGAACAAAGGAAAUUAAUAUUUACAAAAAGUUGGAGGCUAAAGCCUCCAUAGGCAUAUGGAUGAGAAGGGAAUGGAGGGUUAUGGUAUGAGUGCAGGCAGGUGGGACUAAGGGAAAAAAGUUGUUCGACACGGACUUGUAGGGCCGAGAUGGCCUGUUUCCGUGCUGUAAUUGUUAUAUGGUUAAAGCCUGAUAAAUAGCAAGGAUCUGUUGAAAUUUGCAGAUCAUAGGUUGGUCUUGAUCAAGAGAGAACUUGACUGCAGGAGUAAAUAUACUUCAAUGACACAGCUUUGUGGAGACCAUUUUCAGAGUAUUGCAGAUAGUCUUAGUUCCUUUCCCAAAAGGUUACAUUUGCUACAGAGUGCAAUGAAGAUUCACUAGUUCAUGGUUAAUGGCAGAUUUGUUGUUUUGCAGAGCGAUUGAGCCUGCAUGCUCCGAAGAAUGAGAAGUGAUCUCAUUGAUAAUUAAGAAAUUCUUGCAGUGGAUGCAGGGAAGACAUUUGUCUUGGCUGUGGAAUCUAAUCAGUCCCAGAAUAAGCGGAAUGAAUUAGUUGCAGUCCCAGAAUAAGGGGAAGGCGAUUUGGAAUUGAAACAAGGAGAAACUUCUUCAGGUAGACUGAAUUUAGUAGCCCAGAGGGUUGGGGAGGCUGAAUCAUUUUAAGUUUGUUCUAAGGAGAUAUGAAUAGAUUUUUAUUUUUUAUUUUUUAAGGGAAUUGAUGGAUAAGUUAAUGCAGAACAAUGGUGCCGAGAUAGAUAAGCGGUUGUGAUACAGAUGAAUGACAGACCCAAAUUGUCUAAUUCUAGACCUCUCCAGCCCUGGCUAGUCUUUUCCUUGUUACAUACGUAUUCAAAAAAAGGAUUUAAAAAAGAACAUGUUGUUCACCAGUCUACCCUUGUACUCUAUCUGACCUUCUUUAAUUUUUCAUGUCAGGCGCAGAUGAUUUAUUUUGUGCCUUAGUGAAAAAACAAAUUGUAAACAAUAUACAUUAUUUUAAGCGCUGGCCAACACGUGGUCUCGCAAAAGUGGAAAUACAAACUCUUCAAAACAUUAAAUGACAAGACGGCACAGGAAUCUUAAAAGUCAGAAACAAACAUUUAGUUAGAAAUAAUUUAAGUUAAUAGCAUUACCUUUUCUAAAGGCUUUGCUGAGACUUUUAAUUUUGUUAUCUUUGCUUCCCUUAUCGCCUUCCAUGUAAGGAAAUACACGUGCCUGGUGGGUCCAAAAGUAGUCAUUUGAUCCAAAGAAAUGAACUGGGAAUUCGCCAAUCUGGUGCUUCAUAUUUUGAAUAUUAGUAGGAACAUUCCUUGGGUGACAUAUCUCUGCAGGCCACCAUCUGUGUUUGGAAACACAUUACAGCUUAUCAAUAGAAUAGAAUAUCUAGGUUAUUGUAACAAGCAAUUUUUGUUUUAUUAAAGAGAUUAGUUAAAUACAUCAAA
This is a long non-coding RNA of Leucoraja erinaceus (little skate), 4158 nucleotides long. RefSeq lists it as uncharacterized. The record is from RefSeq and is a predicted model, not a curated record. The transcript has 6 exons. NCBI's taxonomy places the organism in Eukaryota, Metazoa, Chordata, Chondrichthyes, Rajiformes, Rajidae.